This 528-nucleotide ribosomal RNA is filed under the name uncultured bacterium. RNAcentral describes it as "bacterial SSU rRNA". It matches the Rfam family "Bacterial small subunit ribosomal RNA", at positions 19 to 518 of the family's 1533-position model. The record is from RNAcentral.
CUGGCUCAGGACGAACGCUGGCGGCGUGCCUAAUACAUGCAAGUCGAACGGUCUUUCUAUGGAAGCUUGCUCCACUGAGAAGAUAGUGGCGAACGGGUGAGUAACACGUGGGUAACCUGCCCGAUAAGAGGGGGGAGUAACAUCCGGAAACGGGUGCUAAUACCGCAUAGUUUUCUUGAUCGCAUGAUCGGGAAAGGAAAGACGGCCUUUGUGCUGCCGCUUAUGGAUGGACCCGCGGCGUAUUAGUUAGUUGGUGAGGUAACGGCUCACCAAGACGAUGAUACGUAGCCGACCUGAGAGGGUGAUCGGCCACAUUGGGACUGAGACACGGCCCAAACUCCUACGGGAGGCAGCAGUAGGGAAUCUUCCGCAAUGGACGAAAGUCUGACGGAGCAACGCCGCGUGAGUGAAGAAAGGUUUUCGGAUCGUAAAACUCUGUUGUCAGAGAAGAACAAGUUGGAGAGUAACUGCUCCAGCCUUGACGGUAUCUGACCAGAAAGCCACGGCUAACUACGUGCCAGCCGCCGC